GUUGACCUCGGAUCAGGUAGGGAUACCCGCUGAACUUAAGCAUAUCAAUAAGCGGAGGAAAA
Molecule: ribosomal RNA, 62 nt
Filed under: Botrytis cinerea
Lineage: Eukaryota; Fungi; Ascomycota; Leotiomycetes; Helotiales; Sclerotiniaceae
Also listed under: 1 other name
Description: partial 28S ribosomal RNA
Rfam family: Eukaryotic large subunit ribosomal RNA
Source: RNAcentral